Long non-coding RNA from Tribolium madens (black flour beetle), 572 nucleotides. RefSeq lists it as uncharacterized. Lineage: Eukaryota; Metazoa; Arthropoda; Insecta; Coleoptera; Tenebrionidae. The transcript is spliced from 8 exons. The record is from RefSeq and is a predicted model, not a curated record.
UUUUAAGUCGGAAGUCGCCAUUUGCCAACCAUUCUUUUUCGUUGGAGUCGCCGAAGGAGAAGUGCUUUCGAAGAACAAUGGUUAAAGAGCGGUUCUACGAGUAUAACCCCUGCAAAUUGGGUGCCUUGAGAGGCAUAUUUUGGUAUUUGGAGAAGUAGACAACAAGGGAGCAUGUAAAUGUGUUUUGGAAGCUCGGAAGGUGCAAAGAUCUUCCUAUCCCAAAGGUGAAACUAUGGCACACCUAUUGCAGAAUGUCUGACGUCCCAAGGAGCUACUCAGUAUUUACGACAAAAUGGUGUAGAUGCCACUUUUCAUGGUGGGGGAUUAGGACGAGGCUAGAAGUUUUGUCGUCUUAAAACAACAUGGGUCCUAGAUUGGUGGUUGUAAAGAAGUGACUCUAAAGGAGGAUCCUGAUUUGAGGUUGAGGUCUUCUGGAACGUUACAAAAAUUGAUCUAGGAUUGUUUUGUUUGACUUAAUUGCAUGUGGAUACAACGCUGAAAGACUUACGAAAGCGCUCAUGUGGUUAUUUGUGAUUGUACAUACGAAAUGUUUUAAUAAAUGGUAUCAUAUA